GGGGUUGUGACUCAACGGUAGAGCACUCAUCUAGCACAUCUGAGGCCCUGGGUUCAAUCCUCAGCACCACA
This 71-nucleotide transfer RNA is filed under the name Marmota monax (woodchuck). RNAcentral describes it as "tRNA.Ala". Lineage: Eukaryota; Metazoa; Chordata; Mammalia; Rodentia; Sciuridae. The record is from RNAcentral.